RNAcentral lists this ribosomal RNA (1433 nucleotides) under uncultured organism. RNAcentral's name for it is "16S ribosomal RNA". It matches the Rfam family "Bacterial small subunit ribosomal RNA". The record is from RNAcentral.
GCGGCGUGCUUAACACAUGCAAGUCGAACGGAAAGGCCCUGCUUUUGUGGGGUGCUCGAGUGGCGAACGGGUGAGUAACACGUGAGUAACCUGCCCUUGACUUUGGGAUAACUUCAGGAAACUGGGGCUAAUACCGGAUAGGAGCUCCUGCUGCAUGGUGGGGGUUGGAAAGUUUCGGCGGUUGGGGAUGGACUCGCGGCUUAUCAGCUUGUUGGUGGGGUAGUGGCUUACCAAGGCUUUGACGGGUAGCCGGCCUGAGAGGGUGACCGGCCACAUUGGGACUGAGAUACGGCCCAGACUCCUACGGGAGGCAGCAGUGGGGAAUAUUGCACAAUGGGCGGAAGCCUGAUGCAGCAACGCCGCGUGCGGGAUGACGGCCUUCGGGUUGUAAACCGCUUUCGCCUGUGACGAAGCGUGAGUGACGGUAAUGGGUAAAGAAGCACCGGCUAACUACGUGCCAGCAGCCGCGGUGAUACGUAGGGUGCGAGCGUUGUCCGGAUUUAUUGGGCGUAAAGGGCUCGUAGGUGGUUGAUCGCGUCGGAAGUGUAAUCUUGGGGCUUAACCCUGAGCGUGCUUUCGAUACGGGUUGACUUGAGGAAGGUAGGGGAGAAUGGAAUUCCUGGUGGAGCGGUGGAAUGCGCAGAUAUCAGGAGGAACACCAGUGGCGAAGGCGGUUCUCUGGGCCUUUCCUGACGCUGAGGAGCGAAAGCGUGGGGAGCGAACAGGCUUAGAUACCCUGGUAGUCCACGCUGUAAACGGUGGGUACUAGGUGUGGGGUCCAUUCCACGGGUUCCGUGCCGUAGCUAACGCUUUAAGUACCCCGCCUGGGGAGUACGGCCGCAAGGCUAAAACUCAAAGGAAUUGACGGGGCCCCGCACAAGCGGCGGAGCAUGUGGAUUAAUUCGAUGCAACGCGUAGAACCUUACCUGGGUUUGACAUGGAUCGGGAGUGCUCAGAGAUGGGUGUGCCUCUUUUGGGGUCGGUUCACAGGUGGUGCAUGGCUGUCGUCAGCUCGUGUCGUGAGAUGUUGGGUUAAGUCCCGCAACGAGCGCAACCCUUGUUCACUGUUGCCAGCACGUUAUGGUGGGGACUCAGUGGAGACCGCCGGGGUCAACUCGGAGGAAGGUGGGGAUGACGUCAAGUCAUCAUGCCCCUUAUGUCCAGGGCUUCACGCAUGCUACAAUGGCUGGUACAGAGAGUGGCGAGCCUGUGAGGGUGAGCGAAUCUCGGAAAGCCGGUCUCAGUUCGGAUUGGGGUCUGCAACUCGACCUCAUGAAGUCGGAGUCGCUAGUAAUCGCAGAUCAGCAACGCUGCGGUGAAUACGUUCCCGGGGCUUGUACACACCGCCCGUCAAGUCAUGAAAGUUGGUAACACCCGAAGCCGGUGGCCUAACCGUUGUGGGGGAGCCGUCGAAGGUGGGACUGGUGAUUAGG